RNAcentral lists this ribosomal RNA (2867 nucleotides) under Salmonella enterica subsp. enterica serovar Typhimurium. RNAcentral's name for it is "partial 23S ribosomal RNA". It matches the Rfam family "Bacterial large subunit ribosomal RNA". Lineage: Bacteria; Pseudomonadati; Pseudomonadota; Gammaproteobacteria; Enterobacterales; Enterobacteriaceae. The record is from RNAcentral.
GAUUCGUCACACUAUCAUUAACUGAAUCCAUAGGUUAAUGAGGCGAACCGGGGGAACUGAAACAUCUAAGUACCCCGAGGAAAAGAAAUCAACCGAGAUUCCCCCAGUAGCGGCGAGCGAACGGGGAGGAGCCCAGAGCCUGAAUCAGCAUGUGUGUUAGUGGAAGCGUCUGGAAAGGCGCGCGAUACAGGGUGACAGCCCCGUACACAAAAGCGCAUGUGCUGUGAGCUCGAUGAGUAGGGCGGGACACGUGGUAUCCUGUCUGAAUAUGGGGGGACCAUCCUCCAAGGCUAAAUACUCCUGACUGACCGAUAGUGAACCAGUACCGUGAGGGAAAGGCGAAAAGAACCCCGGCGAGGGGAGUGAAAAAGAACCUGAAACCGUGUACGUACAAGCAGUGGGAGCACCCUUCGGGGUGUGACUGCGUACCUUUUGUAUAAUGGGUCAGCGACUUAUAUUCUGUAGCAAGGUUAACCGUAUAGGGGAGCCGGAGGGAAACCGAGUCUUAAUUGGGCGUUAAGUUGCAGGGUAUAGACCCGAAACCCGGUGAUCUAGCCAUGGGCAGGUUGAAGGUUGGGUAACACUAACUGGAGGACCGAACCGACUAAUGUUGAAAAAUUAGCGGAUGACCUGUGGCUGGGGGUGAAAGGCCAAUCAAACCGGGAGAUAGCUGGUUCUCCCCGAAAGCUAUUUAGGUAGCGCCUCGUGAAUUCAUCUCCGGGGGUAGAGCACUGUUUCGGCUAGGGGGCCAUCCCGGCUUACCAACCCGAUGCAAACUGCGAAUACCGGAGAAUGUUAUCACGGGAGACACACGGCGGGUGCUAACGUCCGUCGUGAAGAGGGAAACAACCCAGACCGCCAGCUAAGGUCCCAAAGUCAUGGUUAAGUGGGAAACGAUGUGGGAAGGCCCAGACAGCCAGGAUGUUGGCUUAGAAGCAGCCAUCAUUUAAAGAAAGCGUAAUAGCUCACUGGUCGAGUCGGCCUGCGCGGAAGAUGUAACGGGGCUAAACCAUGCACCGAAGCUGCGGCAGCGAACGUAUCACCCAAGACAACUUUACGGAGUUGACGAUUGACGGAGCGAAGCGACGUCAAAGCGUUCAUUAAAGUCGAGUUGGCUUAGGGAUACGUUCGUUGGGUAGGGGAGCGUUCUGUAAGCCUGUGAAGGUGUGUCGUGAGGCAUGCUGGAGGUAUCAGAAGUGCGAAUGCUGACAUAAGUAACGAUAAAGCGGGUGAAAAGCCCGCUCGCCGGAAGACCAAGGGUUCCUGUCCAACGUUAAUCGGGGCAGGGUGAGUCGACCCCUAAGGCGAGGCCGAAAGGCGUAGUCGAUGGGAAACGGGUUAAUAUUCCCGUACUUGGUGUUACUGCGAAGGGGGGACGGAGAAGGCUAUGUUGGCCGGGCGACGGUUGUCCCGGUUUAAGCGUGUAGGUGUGUGUUCCAGGUAAAUCCGGUUCACUUUAACACUGAGGCGUGACGACGAGGCACUACGGUGCUGAAGCAACAAAUGCCCUGCUUCCAGGAAAAGCCUCUAAGCAUCAGGUAACACGAAAUCGUACCCCAAACCGACACAGGUGGUCAGGUAGAGAAUACCAAGGCGCUUGAGAGAACUCGGGUGAAGGAACUAGGCAAAAUGGUGCCGUAACUUCGGGAGAAGGCACGCUGACACGUAGGUGAAGUGAUUUACUCAUGGAGCUGAAGUCAGUCGAAGAUACCAGCUGGCUGCAACUGUUUAUUAAAAACACAGCACUGUGCAAACACGAAAGUGGACGUAUACGGUGUGACGCCUGCCCGGUGCCGGAAGGUUAAUUGAUGGGGUCAGCGCAAGCGAAGCUCCUGAUCGAAGCCCCGGUAAACGGCGGCCGUAACUAUAACGGUCCUAAGGUAGCGAAAUUCCUUGUCGGGUAAGUUCCGACCUGCACGAAUGGCGUAAUGAUGGCCAGGCUGUCUCCACCCGAGACUCAGUGAAAUUGAACUCGCUGUGAAGAUGCAGUGUACCCGCGGCAAGACGGAAAGACCCCGUGAACCUUUACUAUAGCUUGACACUGAACAUUGAGCCUUGAUGUGUAGGAUAGGUGGGAGGCUUUGAAGUGUGGACGCCAGUCUGCAUGGAGCCGACCUUGAAAUACCACCCUUUAAUGUUUGAUGUUCUAACGUGGACCCGUAAUCCGGGUUGCGGACAGUGUCUGGUGGGUAGUUUGACUGGGGCGGUCUCCUCCUAAAGAGUAACGGAGGAGCACGAAGGUUGGCUAAUCCUGGUCGGACAUCAGGAGGUUAGUGCAAUGGCAUAAGCCAGCUUGACUGCGAGCGUGACGGCGCGAGCAGGUGCGAAAGCAGGUCAUAGUGAUCCGGUGGUUCUGAAUGGAAGGGCCAUCGCUCAACGGAUAAAAGGUACUCCGGGGAUAACAGGCUGAUACCGCCCAAGAGUUCAUAUCGACGGCGGUGUUUGGCACCUCGAUGUCGGCUCAUCACAUCCUGGGGCUGAAGUAGGUCCCAAGGGUAUGGCUGUUCGCCAUUUAAAGUGGUACGCGAGCUGGGUUUAGAACGUCGUGAGACAGUUCGGUCCCUAUCUGCCGUGGGCGCUGGAGAACUGAGGGGGGCUGCUCCUAGUACGAGAGGACCGGAGUGGACGCAUCACUGGUGUUCGGGUUGUCAUGCCAAUGGCACUGCCCGGUAGCUAAAUGCGGAAGAGAUAAGUGCUGAAAGCAUCUAAGCACGAAACUUGCCCCGAGAUGAGUUCUCCCUGAGACUUAGAGUCUCCUGAAGGAACGUUGAAGACGACGACGUUGAUAGGCCGGGUGUGUAAGCGCAGCGAUGCGUUGAGCUAACCGGUACUAAUGAACCGUGAGGCUUAACCUUACAACGCCGAAG